UACGAAGGGGGCUAGCGUUGUUCGGAGUUACUGGGCGUAAAGGGCGCGUAGGCGGCUCUUCAAGUCGGGCGUGAAAGCCCUGGGCUCAACCCGGGAAUGGCGCACGAGACUGAGGGGCUUGAGUGCGGGAGAGGAUGGUGGAAUUCCCAGUGUAGAGGUGAAAUUCGUAGAUAUUGGGAAGAACACCGGUGGCGAAGGCGGCCAUCUGGUCCGCAACUGACGCUGAGGCGCGAAAGCGUGGGGAGCAAACAGG
RNAcentral lists this ribosomal RNA (253 nucleotides) under uncultured bacterium. RNAcentral describes it as "partial 16S ribosomal RNA". It matches the Rfam family "Bacterial small subunit ribosomal RNA", at positions 524 to 776 of the family's 1533-position model. The record is from RNAcentral.